ACCAGGUGCUGAGAAAGCCCUGCCUGCUGUAUGGUGCUUGGCACAGUCCUUGGUAGAGCGCUGGCAUUCAGAGCCAAGAAUGAUUGGAAGCCUGGAUGGAAACAGUUAGGCAGGGAAGUGGGCAGCAGUGUGGCGAUCUGAGGUGAGAGGGCAGCAUCUUGUGCCAGCAAGCCUCGUUCCAGCUUAGAUGACAGACCUCGGUCUCCCUCCCUAUAAGGUGCUGACAGCUGAGCCAUUCCACACACCUUUGGGGCAAAGAAGCGCCGGAAGCCAGAGCAGGGCCAAGUUCAAAGACUGGACAUUCUUUCCGAGGCUACCAGAAGCAGCCCCGAGGGCCGGCUCCGGCAUUACAUAAGCAUCAGGUUAGCAGGUCUGUCACUGAGGCACUCAGCCUUGGCCUCUCGGACUUGCGCAACUAAGUGCGCAGAAGCACUUGUUCCGUGUGGCAACAGGGCUACAUGGUUAUCAAAUACGUGGUGCAUCCGCCCAGACUCACUUAGACGACACCAAAGCUCUUCACCACCAGGUGGUUAAAGCUGCCUGAUAGGGUUGGCAGCAGGCAAAGCCAUGACUUACUGUAGCUCUUGGCCCAAGCCACCGAACACUCAGUACCUUGUACCCCGUUAGCCUUGGGCAGUAAAGCCUCUGAUAAAAUGUU
Long non-coding RNA from Alexandromys fortis (reed vole), 658 nucleotides. RefSeq lists it as uncharacterized. The record is from RefSeq and is a predicted model, not a curated record. The transcript has 3 exons. NCBI's taxonomy places the organism in Eukaryota, Metazoa, Chordata, Mammalia, Rodentia, Cricetidae.